AUUGAACGCUGGCGGCAGGCUUAACACAUGCAAGUCGAGCGGGGUGAUGGUGCUUGCACUAUCACUUAGCGGCGGACGGGUGAGUAAUGCUUAGGAAUCUGCCUAUUAGUGGGGGACAACAUCUCGAAAGGGAUGCUAAUACCGCAUACGUCCUACGGGAGAAAGCAGGGGAUCACUUGUGACCUUGCGCUAAUAGAUGAGCCUAAGUCGGAUUAGCUAGUUGGUGGGGUAAAGGCCUACCAAGGCGACGAUCUGUAGCGGGUCUGAGAGGAGGAUCCGCCACACGGGGGCUGGGACACGGACCAGAGGCCUACGGGAGGCAGCAGUGGGGAAUAUUGGACAAUGGGGGGAACCCUGAUCCGGCCAUGCCGCGUGUGUGAAGAAGGCCUUAUGGUUGUAAAGCACUUUAAGCGAGGAGGAGGCUCUUUUGGUUAAUACCCAAGAUGAGUGGACGUUACUCGCAGAAUAAGCACCGGCUAACUCUGUGCCAGCAGCCGCCGUAA
RNAcentral lists this ribosomal RNA (503 nucleotides) under uncultured bacterium. RNAcentral describes it as "partial 16S ribosomal RNA". It matches the Rfam family "Bacterial small subunit ribosomal RNA", at positions 30 to 523 of the family's 1533-position model. The record is from RNAcentral.